UGAAAUGCUGAGGCUAAGCAACUUCUCCGAGUUACUUGUUAAUAAUCUACAAAUGAUAAUUAAUUGACAACUGCUGGCAGCUCUCUGGGAAAAGGAUAUUAUUUAGGAUGAGAACCAAAGAUGAGAAAUCCCAAAGGUUAAAUGAAAUGGUUUCUUUUCAAGUCCUGCGCAUUCAACUAAUGUGUGUGGAAGGACACACCCUCUUGUUCCUGCCAUGCUCUUGCUGGCUGACCUCUGUAUUUAGAGCGAGAAGGCCCCAGAUCCCUUUCCCAACUGGAGAAGGUGAUGGCUUCACUCUGCAAGGGCUGGUGGUGAAAAGAAGUGAGGAAAUUAUUCCAAAGCACCCAGGUGAGGAU
Lepidothrix coronata (blue-crowned manakin) is the source of this 356-nucleotide long non-coding RNA. RefSeq lists it as uncharacterized. Lineage: Eukaryota; Metazoa; Chordata; Aves; Passeriformes; Pipridae. The transcript has 4 exons. The record is from RefSeq and is a predicted model, not a curated record.